GUGGUAUGUCAAAGCUAUCGCUAGUUCUAAUUAAUCCUAGCUCACAUUGUGUAUUGGAGUGUGAUUCGCAGUCAUCCUGUUUCAAAAGAAAAAAAAAUUCAUGUCAUUCCAUGUUAUACAGAGUGGUUUACGUUUUGCAGGUAAGGCCUCGUUUGGCAGCUCGGACUGUACUGACUAUUUCUGUCGGAUAGGAUAAAUAACCACCGGAUAGUACUGACUAAAUUAGUCGGGCGUUUGGUGCAGUAUCGGAUUAAUAACCGUAUUAUUUAUACUAUGUUUGGUAUUAUACCGGAUAAGUGGAAUUCAAAAUAUUAAUAUUUUAAGAUAAAAAUUGAUACUUAGGUUUAUUUUUCUUUUUGUACGGUUGUUUCUUCACUUUGCAGAAGAGAAGCACUUUGCUUCUCCCAUUCCCGAAGCAAAAUGAAAGGCACUCUACAAAGACCAUCAACACCGAAGCCUCUCAAAUCUCCACCUCUCUGUCAUUUGAAGCACUUUGCUUCUCCCAUUCGAGUUUCGUCAAUCCAUCGCGAAGAUGAAAACCCAGAAGCAAAAAAUGGAGAAGAUGAAAACCCAAAAGCAAAAAGAUGGAGAAGAUGAAAACCCAGAAGCAAAAAAUUGAAAACCCAUAAUUGAAAACCCAGAAACACCAUAAUUGAAAACCUGGGUUUCGUCUGCCUAGCUACCUUUUCUUCCUUCUUGGGCUCCCCCGUCGCCGGAGCCUCUGCUGGCAGUUGGGAAGGAGGGAGAGACAGAGCAGCAAUACCUUGGUGGAGUUCGCGUUGGGCAGGAGCAGAGAGGGUCGGAGAGAAGAGCAUACUGGGCGCGAACCCGACUAAUUAUACCAACCUAUUGGAGAGGAUAGCUAAGCGGGUGCAGAGUGUAUUAAAAUGGUGGGCCCGGAUUAUUUAAUCCGGUGCUUAUUUAAUCCAAACGACCACCAAACACCGUACAUCGUAUUAUUAGUACUAUCCGGUGUCUUAUACGGUGUGCCAAACAGGACCUAAGUGUUUUCUUAAUUUUUAUUCUGCAUCAAUAUUAGUGGUGUCAUCGUCACAUUCCUUAAUUUAACUACCAACGUUUUUUCAGGCCUAUGUUAUUUCUUGAAGGAUUCUGAUCAGAACCGCAUGAAUCAUUUAAAGGAAGUAAGAAAACGAAAUAAAAGAACAUACAAAAUGCAUAAAUUGACGAUGAGACAGGAAAAGAAACAAAUAAUUUGUCGCUGCCUUUCUCACCUCUUCCCGGCCCUUUUGUUAUUUUUGUGGCAACCAAAUAGACGGAAACGAAGCUAUUUGGGAUUUUUCCCUGAAAAUUGAGGGUUGCGGAUGGCUUGUACAAAUAUUUGGACUUUGUGAGACUAUUAUGCCUUUUCCGAUCAUGUAUUUUUUUUAUUUCUCUUGUAAGUUUGGUUUGCAAUUUGUGAGAAGUUUAGUUAGAGCAUUCUACCCACUAGUAGAAAAAACACUUUGCACGACGGAGCAAAUUUAGUCGUGCAAAGUGGGUUUGCGCGACUAUAAACACAAAGUGUCGCGCAAAUGUAUUUUGCGUGAUGAAAGUUGUGUCGCGCAAAACUGUUUUGCACGACGCAACCUUCGUCGUGCAAGAUUUUGGUGCCAAACGAAGCAUAUUUACCGCUUUUAUCCCAACUUUGCGCGACGCAGAUGGGAAGUGGUCGCGCAAAACUGCUUUGCGCGACGGAGAUGGGC
This 1703-nucleotide long non-coding RNA is filed under the name Malus domestica (apple). Its description in RNAcentral is "long non-coding RNA (MDOM_LNC011069)". Lineage: Eukaryota; Viridiplantae; Streptophyta; Magnoliopsida; Rosales; Rosaceae. The record is from RNAcentral.